AACAUGCUUCCUUAGAUCCACCUUUGUGGAUGUCAAUCUUGAACUGAGUUCUACUCGUAAACUUUGGUUUCUUGUAGUUCCAGUGAAAGAAACAUCCAGCAACUUUUUUGGUUGUAUAGUCAAAGGUGCUUGAGUCAUUGGCAUGUGAGAUCAAUAUACCUGCAUGUUAGUCUUAAGUUCUGAUAGAAAUGACAUGCAAUUAUGCUGCCAUACUUGACUAUCAGGACGUGACUGGUGUGCGGACACU
Sorex araneus (European shrew) is the source of this 247-nucleotide small nucleolar RNA. Lineage: Eukaryota; Metazoa; Chordata; Mammalia; Eulipotyphla; Soricidae. The record is from Ensembl.